ACGAACGCUGGCGGCGUGCUUAACCCAUGCAAGUCGCACGGAAAGGCCCUGCUUUUGUGGGGUGCUCGAGUGGCGAACGGGUGAGUAACACGUGAGUAACCUGCCCUUGACUUUGGGAUAACUUCAGGAAACUGGGGCUAAUACCGGAUAGGAGCUCCUGCUGCAUGGUGGGGGUUGGAAAGUUUCGGCGGAUGGGGAUGGACUCGCGGCUUAUCAGCUUGUUGGUGGGGUAGUGGCUUACCAAGGCUUUGACGGGUAGCCGGCCUGAGAGGGUGACCGGCCACAUUGGGACUGAGAUACGGCCCAGACUCCUACGGGAGGCAGCAGUGGGGAAUAUUGCACAAUGGGCGGAAGCCUGAUGCAGCAACGCCGCGUGCGGGAUGACGGCCUUCGGGUUGUAAACCGCUUUCGCCUGUGACGAAGCGUGAGUGACGGUAAUGGGUAAAGAAGCACCGGCUAACUACGUG
This 467-nucleotide ribosomal RNA is filed under the name uncultured bacterium. RNAcentral's name for it is "partial 16S ribosomal RNA". It matches the Rfam family "Bacterial small subunit ribosomal RNA", at positions 29 to 507 of the family's 1533-position model. The record is from RNAcentral.